RNAcentral lists this long non-coding RNA (279 nucleotides) under Ananas comosus (pineapple). RNAcentral's name for it is "long non-coding RNA (ACOM_LNC016051)". The record is from RNAcentral. Lineage: Eukaryota; Viridiplantae; Streptophyta; Magnoliopsida; Poales; Bromeliaceae.
UUCUACAACUACUAAGAAGUUAAAUGUUAUCUGAACAACAAUAAUUUUCGCGUACCGACCGUCCCUAGUGCAAGUGGCAAAAAGGUUUGAUGGUUGGUACCCGAGAUCCAAGUUCGAAUCCUAGUUAAUUCACAUUUUCAACUAAGUUUAUUUCUAAAUGAAAUAAACGAAGCAGGUAGCAUGCUACCUUUCUCUCUCCAAAAAAAAAAAAAACAAUAAUUUUCGCGUUAUCUCCUUUGCCUAAACAAAUUUAGGCAAACAAAACAAGAUGAUAACAAA